UCCCUCUCAGGGUUGCACCUGGAGAGUUUCUAGUAUGCUACCAGUCACAACUACAGGAGAGAGAGUCAAGCAGAGGCCUACCCCUUCCAUUCCUAGCUUGGGCAGUAGCUAGUGGGUGGAAGGCAAUCUGCCACAAGU
Small nucleolar RNA from Tachyglossus aculeatus (Australian echidna), 138 nucleotides. NCBI's taxonomy places the organism in Eukaryota, Metazoa, Chordata, Mammalia, Monotremata, Tachyglossidae. The record is from RefSeq and is a predicted model, not a curated record.